Molecule: ribosomal RNA, 506 nt
Filed under: uncultured bacterium
Lineage: Bacteria
Description: bacterial SSU rRNA
Rfam family: Bacterial small subunit ribosomal RNA
Source: RNAcentral
AUGGCUCAGGAUGAACGCUAGCGGAGGCUAACACAUGCAAGUCGAGGGGCAUCACGGGGUAGCAAUACUCUGGUGGCGACCGGCGCACGGGUGAGUAACGCGUAUGUAACCUACCCUGUACAGGGGGAUAGCCCGGAGAAAUUCGGAUUAAUACCCCAUAAAGAUAUUUAGAGGCAUCUUUAGAUAUUUAAAGUUUCGACGGUACGGGAUGGGCAUGCGUAACAUUAGCUAGUUGGUAAGGUAACGGCUUACCAAGGCGACGAUGUUUAGGGGUCCUGAGAGGGUGAUCCCCCACACUGGUACUGAGACACGGACCAGACUCCUACGGGAGGCAGCAGUGAGGAAUAUUGGUCAAUGGGCGUAAGCCUGAACCAGCCAUCCCCCGCGUGAAGGAAGAAGGCGCUAUGCGUUGUAAACUUCUUUUCCAGGGGAAUAAAAUUUUGUACGUGUACGAAACUGAAGGUACCCUGGGAAUAAGCAUCGGCUAACUCCGUGCCAGCAGCCGC